CUUUUCUUUCUUUUGUUAGGAUUAAUUUUAUUAAUUAUAUUUAUCAAUACACUUUAACCCACUUUCAUACAUGCAAAAUAUUCUAAGAACUUUCAACUAAAACCCCAUCAUGAAACAUCAGGAUGGAAAGAAAAUUAGGAAAAUACAGGGUUUUUUUGUUUUGUUUUUUUGUAAAAGUAUAGAUACAAAAGGUACAGUUUGCCUAAAACACAUAAAACAUUUUAUACAAUAUUUUAUUUAUUUAAAUGAUGUUAAAUUAAUUUUUUUGACUAUACUUAGUAUUUGUAACCUGUAAUACACCAAAUCCUGUCACAAAAAGUACAUUAUUACAAUAUUGGAUUUUGUCACGAUCUCGCUGGCAGAUGGCGCUGUGGCGGCGAUGUUCACGGAAAGCCGGAGGGCGCGUGCGUGUACGAACCAGAGCGAGCACAUGCUCGCGGGUUACAUAGGAACCAUGGAGACUUUGUUUACAAUGGCCAUGGGCGUUUGCUUCUGUUUUGUCUCCGCCUUGUUUAGUUAUUGGUGGAUAUUCGAGGGCGCGUCUCGGUUGUUACCAGCUGUCAGCGUUUAAGGUAAAUGACAUUAGUUAUUUAAACCCCUCACGUUACCUCGCACUUGGCGCAGUAUUGAAGGUUUAAAGGAGUUAAAUGUGUAAUGGUGCCACGCGGUAGUGUUUCCAUGCCCUGCUCUGGUUUCAUGCCUCGGUUCUAGGCAAGUGUGCCAUGUGAUAGUGUUUCCAGGUCCUGUUCUAGUUGAAUGUUUGGACCUCGUUUCCUGUUUCUUGUACAUUGACUUUAGUUUUAAAUAAAUACUUGCACCUGCACUUGCUUCCUGUUGGAGUCUGUACGUAACAGAUUUACAAUUAAAAAAGUACAUAAGUGAAAUUAUGAAGGUGAAAAACCCAUGAAUUAUUAUUAAAAUUUCAUUAAUUAUUAUGAUGAUUUAUCACAAUCAUAAUGUAAAAAAAUGGGUGAUUGGGGAGAGAAAGUGCAGGUAAUAUUUUAUUGUAAAUAAACAAUUUCCUUGUUUUACAAGAAAUAUACAAGAAAAUUAUUAUCAUUUUAACUUUUACAUUUAGUCAUUUGGCACUUAGCUGACAUUAAAUUAGAUCAAACAGUGUAUUGGUAUAUAGUAUAGAUGUUAUAUCAUUUGUUCUCUUUUAAUCACUUACAGGAAGAACAGUUUGUAAAUGUAUUCCUCUCUCGCUGUGAUGAUGCGGGUUUCAUGUGAUUCUCACCCAAGAACAGAUUUCUAAUAAUAUACAGAUGAUUAUUAGCAUGUCUGUUAAGCGCUAGAAAAAUCUAAAAGACUUUUAUAUAUUUAAUAGUUGUUGUUUUUUUAGCAGUAUAAUUUUUUGUUAAAAUCUACAAAAAUCCCAAUCUAAAAUGCAAAUCAGAGUUUAUACAUAACAUCACACACAUUAACUUUCGACUCAAUCUAAAGUCCAGGCUGUCUCCAGACUAUCAGCGUAAGCUGAGAGAAUCCCUCACUCACAGGGAGGUGUAGAUGUAGACGAAUAUGAUGACGAGGAGAUUCAGGACGGUGCAAGCGAUCCCAAGGAACGCCAGGAUGGACUCUUCUCGGCUCUCGCUCUUCUGUUUCGGUGGCUCAUCGUGACCCACGGCAUGAUUUAGCAUGUUCCUGUGACGAGGAGUGAACAAUCGCCUCCUAAAGCCUCUCUGCAGAAGAGUAACACUGAGUAUCAUAACUGUCGAAUUCGCGUUAAUGUGUGAUACUAAUAAUAACACCACAUACUCUACAUGCACACAUAUUAUAUCUACUAUACUACAGGUAGAGUACUGUAACGCUCUAUACAUUAUAUCUACUAUACUACAGGUAGAGUACUGUAACGCUCUAUACACACAUCUACUAUACUACAGGUAGAGUACUGUAACGCUCUAUACACACAUCAUCUAUACUACAGGUAGAGUACUGUAACACUCUAUACACACAUCUACUAUACUACAGGUAGAGUACUGUAACACUAUACACACAUCUACUAUACUACAGGUAGAGUACUAUAACACUCUAUACACACAUCUACUAUACUACAGGUAGAGUACUGUAACACUAUACACACAUCUACUAUACUACAGG
Long non-coding RNA from Ictalurus punctatus (channel catfish), 2097 nucleotides. The record is from Ensembl. Lineage: Eukaryota; Metazoa; Chordata; Actinopteri; Siluriformes; Ictaluridae.